UUUUAGACGUAAAAGUUAAAUGCUUAGUUAUUAAUAGUUAUAUUCUUUAAAAUUAAAGAAUUUGGCGGUGUUUUAGUCUAUUCAGAGGAACCUGUCCUGUAAUUGAUAACCCACAAUUUAUACUACCAAAGUUUUUAAUUUGUAUAUCGUCGUAAUUAAAUAUUUUAUAAGAAAAUAAAUAUUUAAAAUUUUUUAUAAAAAAGUAAAUCAGAUCAAGAUGCAGUUUAUAUUUUGGAAGAGAUGGGUUACAAUAAAAUUAUUUAUGGAUAAAUAACUGAAAAUUUAUUUUGAAAUAGGAUUUGAAUGUAAUUUUUUUUAUAUAUUAAAAAUGAUUUUAGCUCUAAAAUAUAC
RNAcentral lists this ribosomal RNA (351 nucleotides) under Triacanus sp. MJM-2013. RNAcentral's name for it is "partial 12S ribosomal RNA". Lineage: Eukaryota; Metazoa; Arthropoda; Insecta; Coleoptera; Nitidulidae. The record is from RNAcentral.